UACAGAGGGUGCAAGCGUUGCUCGGAAUUAUUGGGCGUAAAGGGUAGGUAGGUGGUUCUGUUUGUCAGGGGUGAAAGCCUUGGGCUCAACCUGAGAAGUGCCUUUGAAACGGCAGAACUAGAGUCCUGGAGAGGGUCGUGGAAUUCCCGGUGUAGCGGUGAAAUGCGUAGAGAUCGGGAGGAACACCAGAGGCGAAGGCGGCGACCUGGACAGGAACUGACACUCAACUACGAAAGCGUGGGUAGCAAACAGG
Molecule: ribosomal RNA, 253 nt
Filed under: uncultured bacterium
Lineage: Bacteria
Description: partial 16S ribosomal RNA
Rfam family: Bacterial small subunit ribosomal RNA
Source: RNAcentral